AGUUGGCGUUUUAUUGGAAUUAUUCAAGAAAACUUUCAUGUCAUCCUGAAAUAACUCAACUGAAUGAUUUGACUAUUCUUUCUGACAACCACUCAGUGGUCAGGGGUUUUUUCCCCAUUCAUUGUGUGCCCUGUUUCAACUCACCCAGGAUGGCGAGCUACCGGAUCACCGCAGCAUUGCGGACCCAUGGUGUUUGGGAGCACCAUGAAAGAUGUAACCGACCUUCUGAAUAGAUUCUCACAUCUUGCAUGAAGCAUAGCUUUUUGUCUGGUCUUGUUGUAUGUUGGACAUAUGUUUUGUUGUGGCCCACUCCAAAUGCUGAAGAAGAAGAAGCCUGACGACGCCUGAAGAAACUUAAAGCCUGAGAAAAAUAGGACGAGAAAUAGGAGCAUUUAAAAGUAUGCUUUUAAAGCYUGACAUAUCAUGCUUUUAAAUGCUUAAAAAAAACAUUUAAAAGUAUGAUAUGUCUCAUUUAAAACAAACACCAGCAGGGUAAGAACAGUGUGACUCAAGAUUCUACACAUUUCUGGUUGAGAUUUGCAGGAACAACCAAUUUACUCGAUAAAACACAUGGAUUACUGGGUCGUUUUAUCUGAUAAAGUUGCACAUAAACAGUUUUGCCUUGGAUAUCCAA
This is a long non-coding RNA of Austrofundulus limnaeus, 634 nucleotides long. RefSeq lists it as uncharacterized. The record is from RefSeq and is a predicted model, not a curated record. The transcript is spliced from 3 exons. Lineage: Eukaryota; Metazoa; Chordata; Actinopteri; Cyprinodontiformes; Rivulidae.